AUGUAUUUAUGAUGAAUAAUAUCAGUUAUCCCUGUCAGACAUUUUUAUGCUGAUAACAUUAAUUUUAUCUGAAAUUAAU
Molecule: non-coding RNA, 79 nt
Organism: Acyrthosiphon pisum (pea aphid)
Lineage: Eukaryota; Metazoa; Arthropoda; Insecta; Hemiptera; Aphididae
Source: Rfam